GAACCAUCCAGAAUAAAACAUGAAGAAACUGAGGAACAAAUAGAUCAGAUGGAAGUGAAAGAGCAAAGACAACAAAUGGAGAAAAUUAAGGAGGAACAUCAUGACUUUAAAAUUCGAGAAACAAAAGCCAAAAAGACGCACACCUGCACUCAGUGUGGAAAGAUUUUCAGUCAAAAAGGACACCUUAACGCACACAUGAGGAUUCACACUGGAGAGAAACCGUAUCCAUGCACUCAGUGUGGAAAGAGCUUCAGAGAAACGUCAGCUUUCCGUGUUCAUCUGCUCCGUCACUCUGGAGAAAAAACAUUUAACUGUGGCCAGUGUGGAAAAGAUUUUAUUUCAUCAUCAAAUCUAAACAAACACCUGAAAGUUCAUUCAGGCGAGAGGCCUCAUGUGUGUUCUGUCUGUGGAAAGAGUUUUUCAAGAAUGGAUCAUUUUAAACAGCAUCAGAAAACACAUAAUAAAGUGAAAUAUUAUGUGUUUUGACUGUGGGAAGAGCUUUACUACACCCACUCAACUGAAACGACACCAACGGAUUCAUACUGGAGAAAAACCUUUCAAGUGUUCAUAUUGUGACAUGAGUUUCACCUGAAAAACACAUGAGCGACUUCAUACUGGAAAGAAGCCCCAAUACUGUACUCUGGGUAGGGAUGGGUACCAAGAGCCGGUAUUUUUUUGGACUGGUUCAUAAUUGGGUCAAUACUGGACCACUGAUAAGCUUCAAGACAAAUUAUAUAUAUAUAUAUAUACUUGCAGUGUUUUAUCUCUGUAUACUUCUGUGUCAAUAGCAUGAAACAGAAAAAAACAUUGUGUCUUUAAAAAACAGUUGAAUUGUGAUUGUUUAAUGUAAAAACUUAAUUUAAUGUAAAACUUUUACUUCAGCAUCGAUUCUGAAAAGCACCUGGGGCCGAUUGCACCAUCUGGAUGUUCAUCCAGUCGUAAGACUAAGCUUAACAUAAAAUGCAUUUAAGUCCUACGUAGAAUUAAUAAAUGUUGCACCAUCUGGCUGUAGCGCAUGAGACUAAAAUUUACGCCUA
This is a non-coding RNA of Pimephales promelas (fathead minnow), 1037 nucleotides long. The record is from RefSeq and is a predicted model, not a curated record. Lineage: Eukaryota; Metazoa; Chordata; Actinopteri; Cypriniformes; Leuciscidae.